AUCGGUACCAGGGAUAGAACUCACGACUGCUUGCUUGCAAGGCAGGCACUUAUGCCGCUGAGCUAAAUCCCCAGCUCCUAUUUAAUUAAUCUUUAUUGUAUGUAAGUAGAUACUCCAAGAUAAGUGCUUUACAUCUUUGAUAUCAAUUAGUCUUCCCAAUGGAUUUAUGCUGUGGCUUGUGCUACCUUUUUGACACUGUGACAAAACUAUCUGGAAACCAAUUUAAAAGGAGGAGAGGUUUAUUUUGGCUUAGGGUUUCAGAAGGUUCAGUCCUUGGUUGUUGGCCUGGUUGUUUUGGGCAGCACAGUAUGUCAUGGUUGGAGUACAUGUCAGAGAAAUCUACUCACCUUCUGGUGGUCAAGAAACCGGAAUAGAGACAGGAAGAAGCUAGAACCCCAAUAUCCUCUCAAGGUGGUGCCUCCAAUGGCCUUACUUGCUCCCAUGGGAACUUACCUCUUGAAACGGGUACAGUCUCACCACAGGCUGUGGUGACAAAGACCAGGUCUUUGUCACAUGGGCUGUUGAAGUCAUUCCCAAACCACAGCAUUGCUUGCACUCAGUGGAACUGAGAACUAAGGAUCAGGGAACUUAAGUUACCUCCAUCUCGCCCAGCUUGCUGGUUAACUUCUGAGGAGCUGGGAUUAAAAUGCAAGUUUGAUUCUCUCUGAGUUCAGUGCCCAUUCUGCUGUGCCAUGAUUAUUUUAAAAUAGGAUUUAGUCUAUAGUCAGCUGAUUCCAAAGCAGGAACAUCAUAGCAGAAGAGCCUGGCAGAAAAAAGACACACACCACAUGGUGGUCAGGAGGCAGAGAAAGAUGAAAGGAGCUGGGGACAAAGAUGCAUCCUUCCAGGUCACACCUCAGUGACGACUAUGCAUCAGACCCACCCCUAAGAGUGCAUUCAGCUCUGUAUUCUCAAUGGCAAGUGCAGCACCCUCACAAUCUUAUGACCUUCUGAAAGCCUCACCUCAGAGUGCGUGAGGCUCCCGGGGAUACUCUAGAUCUAAACCGCAACAGCGCUCCUGAUUUAUAAGGGUCAGUGCCCGCCUUGUGGCUUAGGCUGCCCUUCUUGGCCUCAAAGAUUUUAUUGAGAAACCUAUUUGCUUUCACUUCUUCUGCUUCCUGCUGCUGUAUGACUCAAGUUUUUCUGCCUGUUUGCCCUUUCAAGCCCUUCAUGAGGGAAUCCGGGCUGGAGAGAGUUCAAACACAGUUAAAGAGCCCCUCCUCCCAUCCCUUUCUAUUUGCGCAUUUAUUUUUAACUGCUUGUCUUUCUGACAGGAACUCUGUUUGUCCUGACUUGAGUCUGGUACUAUGAGUCACUGGGGAGAUAUAAUAUGCUGAUUGCUGAACCAGGUUAUAAUUUUUUCCUCUUCUAUGACUCAUUCUCUUCAACACUCUCUAAUUUAUGAUAAAAAUCAGUAAGAUGUGAGUGCAGAGUUUCUAAAGGCCUGCUUUACUUUUACGACACUGGGAAUUGAAUCCAGAACUUAUGCACUGGGCUCCAUUCCUAGUCAUCAAACCCCUUUAAUUUUCUUUUUAAUUUUAAGGCAGAGUCUCACUAAGCUACUAAGUUGUGUAGGUAGGACACCAACUAGUCAUCUUCCUGUCUCAGCCUCCCUGAGUGCUGGAAUUACAGGUUUGAAUUAAGCACUGCAUUGUUCUUCAAAGAUGUGACGACUCCCAUCCCCACCCUGCAAAAGAAAAGCUUUCAUACAAUUCAGAAUGGAUGGUGCAGACAUCCAGGCAGAACGUUUGCCUGAUGAGUCUGCGAACUGAAUUCCCGGGACAGACUUCUCCUACCUAGAGGCUUUCAAGCAGCAUUUGCAGUGUGAGUGAUAUUUAAGGUGGGUCUUCAGGUAUAUAUAGGACUUCAUGGAUAAAGAAGACAAGGAAAAAAGUCCUGGGGAGCUGAAUUAUAAUUGAAGCUAUGAGGGGAUGAUAGGUCUGAGGAGGGGCCAGUGGGCUGGUGUGAUGAUGGCUCAUGGUUCUAGAGAAUUUGAGGGAAGAGCUGUGUUUGGCGGUGACACAGGCAGAGAUCACUGCAGAUUUACUGUCGUGGUUUUCAACUCCACUCCAGAUGGGCAAGGAGAAAUUUCUGAGAAACCUGAGCCCAUAUUUCUUCUGAGAAAGUUUUCACAAAACAAAAAAUAAAUGUGUGAUGUUUUAAGCAAAGUUUUAGCUACUUAUUCACAAUUAAGACAAAAUAGCUGACCUCCAAAGUUAGCAGGGGGAAGGGUUUAUUUCAGUUCAUUGUCUGUAGAGGUUUCCAGGCUCCAAGGUAGGGUGGCAUGGCAGACGGGGAUCACAGAGGGGUAACUGUCCGUGGCAGACCAGGCAGGAAGCAGUGAUCAGCAGGCAGCAAGCUUCCCCUUCCCUGUUAUUCCAUUCAGGCUAAGGCCUCUUGGGUGACGCCAUGCACAACUGAGGGGGGACUUUUGUCUUCCAUAAAUCCAUUCAGCUACACCAAAAGUAUGCUAAUUAAAAUCAGUGGACUAAUUUAGUGUCACACACUCUUGAUCCUAGUAUUAUACAUCCUAGGUCCAAAAAGCCCCACUGUCAUGGUUUAUGUCAAUGGCUCCCAAGCCUCAUGCAAUUAUGGAUUCAACCAAAUCUAGUGUUUGUGAUUGGUUCUUAUCUAGCAGUUGGAUGGGUGGUGUGAGUGCUACACCCCCACAGGGAUGGAGCCAGGACAGGAUGUAAUGGCAGGAAGAAGGUGUGUCUCUCUCUCUUGCCUGUUCCCACCUUGCUGUUUGUGGCUGCCAUGAAUGAAGGCCCCACCAUGCCACCCUCUGUUGGAGCCAGCUGAGUGUGGACUGAAACCUCCAAGAACUUCUCACGUGUUUGAUGAUGGAGAGGAUUUCUCACCGAUUAGCCUCUGUCUGCACAUUUCCAAAUCUGUUUCUUCUCUUGUCCGCACACAAGCCUGAAGCCUGCAGCCGCGGGGUAAAUUCAUACUGUGAGUCACCUCUGGCCCUGCUCCUGUGUGCCAUAGCACUGGAAGAAAGAGAAGCAGAGAAGUUAAGAAACUCACCAAAGUCACGUCAGCCUCACUGGAGACAGAAUGGAACCCAGGUGCAAUGGUGCCAAGAAAGUAUCUGGUUAUUCCACCAGGGGCCUGAGAUUCUGGGGGGAAAGAUACAGCGCACCACUCCAUUGUCUUUAAAAUCCACAGACUGAACUAAAAGCAAUCCUAUUUUUAACUCUAGUCUAUCUCCUGUUUAUUAUCUAUUUUUGCCUAGUUUCCACAAUUGUACAUUUUGAGAGUGAUGGUUAAAAUAGUCACAAACAUUUCCCUCUGUUAGUUCAUUGGUUGGGAUGAUCAUGACUUAGAAGUUAUGGCAUCAAGCAAGACCACUUUUGGCUAAGUACGUUAGAAUCCUCAAACUAAAACUGCAAACCUUGCUGCCUACUGGUACCAUCCACCAUCACCAAGAGAACUACAAGUAGUUUUACCGUAUUUGUUUCAGUGCAUUUAAACGCCAGAACCCUAGAGAUAUUAAAAUGUAGCUAUUAAUUAGUAGAACUCAGAAAAUGAAGUUGCUAUAUAACUUUACUUGGUGAUGGUAUAACUUGAAGAGGUGAUUGUCAAAGGAAUCAGGACGCAGUUCAAAUCCAAGAAUAGCAUAAUCUCUGUUCUUAGACAACACAUCAUUUUUGAAGGAUGUCAUGUCUAAAACGCCGGGCUUCUGAAAUACCCUUUGAAAUACAAAAUCCUAAAAUAUAUUCUGCACACAGAGCAAGAACUGAGCAGGAGCACACUGGGCAGAGAAGAAAGCUGCUCUUAGGAAGCUUUCAUACAGCCACCUAGACUCAGAGACACCUUGGACACAAUUUCCAGCAUGACUGCAAACAUCACUGGCCAUUUGUUCCCCGACAGAAGCAGUAAGCAACAGAAGGUGGGGAUCCCUGUGGCCUGCAAUGGAGAGAGGGUGGGAAAUGAGGGAGGAGUGGAAGAGAAAUACGGAAUGCAAGUGUGGUCAGGACCUGAAGUCCUCUGGGGUAGCCAGUGUGAAGUGGGCCCAGUUACCCAAGAAAGCAGAGGUGGGGGGCUCCUCUGUGUGGUGCCUAGAGGCCCUGGAAGGUCAGGACCAGAGACUUGAGGGGAAGCACUGCGCAAAGUCUCCAGGCCACCUGGCACGUCCCAGCCCGGCACACGUGCUGUCCAGCUGUGGCUCCUCUGCUGCCUAGCACACAAUCCUAGCAUCACCUGUCAUGUCCAGAGCAUCUUCCGCCUCAAAUGUAACCAACACCUGUAAACACCGGUCACUCACUUUGCAUCUUGAUGGAAUGUAUUGGUACCAAAGAGACUCAAAACUGCAAGAGAUUUCUCAUAGGAGUUUAGCAUGGAGGACUGUUUUAUUUUUAAUUAAAUCCCUGAACCAUGAUUGCUGCAACCUGCCUUCUCAUUCUCCAAGCAAAAAUGCCUGUAACUUCCACUUAGACUUCCAGAGUCAUUUACACUUUACUGAGAAGUUUCAUGUGCCUUGAUUCCAUACAGUCCUCUGACAAAAAAAGCUUUCAGGCAAUCAUUUCCACCUUGUAGAAGUUCAAAUGGAAAUAGAUGAUCCCAGAAAACCAACGUUUGGACCAUUGCUAGCUGUUCUGCUAAAAAAUCUCUGACUUUGCACAACUCUUCAUUGGAGCCAACUUGCUACCUCUAGUUUUUUACAUAUGAGGUUUUGCUUAUUAUCAUUUGUCUGUUUUUUCUAGACCAUCUACUGUUCUCAACCAUAAUUCUUUAGGGCAGAAUUGUUGGCUUUGUAAAAGCCUGGAUUGAAAUAAUAAUCUCCUUAGAUAUCUGCAAUGCAUACUGGGUGGUUUAGCAGACACCACUGACCUUCAGUGUUCUCACCUGUGAUAGGGAGAUGUGCAGCCUGAAGCUAAGAAUGCCUGGCCAAUGUCACAGCCCUCUCCUCCCAGCAGGCCCCUCACAUCUGGGCUUACUGACUUUCAUUCGGCUGUGGACUAUGGGGCCCAUCACUUUUAAAAGGGCCCUUGUGGUGCUGCCUAUAAGCGAUUCAGGGCACUGAUGGGGAGAGCCAGGAUGGAAGCUAAGAUCCUGCCUAUGAGCCGGAUUGGCCUGCAGACUGGGGAGAGGAGAACAUCCUCUGUGGUGAGCAACCAGCUAAAUUUGGAAGAACUGUGUUGUUUGAUUGACUUUGCAAGCCUAAACUCAAGCAACUAUUUAGAGGACAGCAUUGUGCAAUAUAAUAACUAUUGUAGGUUUCCUAAUGUCUUAUCACUGUUCUGAUUUGUUUUAUUGCUCUGUUUUAUUUCCUUUAAAAUUACAGAGAGAAAAAACUGAAGGAGUUAGUGGGAUCCAAAAUGUACAGAAGAUACUGUGAGGGUGAAAGGGGAAGAAAUGUCUAAAAAAGGAAGGCCGUAGCCAUUGUUAGUUUCCUAUUAUCCUGUUUUGAAUUUUUUUCUUGGUAUUAGGGAUCAAACUCAUGCCAGGCAGGUGCUUAUACCACUGACAUAAAUCCCUGGCCCUAUUACCUUGUUUUGAAAUCCUGUUUUCAUUGUUUUGUUUGGUUUGCUUUUAUUCUGUUUAGUUUUGUUAGAUUCUAUGAUGUCUGAUGGUGUGGCCAGCUCUUUUCAAGAUAACAAGAAAUAUUAUGGUAGCCAUUGUUGAUUUCCUAUUAUCUUAUUUUGAAGUCCUGUAUCACUUUCAUUUCUUUGUUUGUAUUGUUUUUAUUCAGUCCUGUUUUGUUUGAUUUUACUAUGUCUUAUAAUAUGGACAGUUAUUUGGAAGAUAACUUGAGGCCCUGUGGUAGAAAUUGUUGAUUUUCUAGUCUCUUGUUUUGAAGUCCUGUAUUGUUCUCAUUGCUUUGUUUUGAUUGGUUUUACUAUGUUUCAUUAUUUUUUAUUUUAUUCUCUUUAAAAUAGAAUUUUAAAAAAUAAAGUUAAAAAAAAAAAAGGACCUAUGUAAUACUGCUAGUGGUUCUGUUCUAUUUGGGCUGUAAAUGACCAGACUGACGCUUUGCAAAGGGGCAAGUUCAUUCAUCAGAUAUAAU
Molecule: long non-coding RNA, 6010 nt
Organism: Cavia porcellus (domestic guinea pig)
Lineage: Eukaryota; Metazoa; Chordata; Mammalia; Rodentia; Caviidae
Exons: 5
Source: RefSeq, a predicted model, not a curated record